Molecule: ribosomal RNA, 494 nt
Filed under: uncultured bacterium
Lineage: Bacteria
Description: bacterial SSU rRNA
Rfam family: Bacterial small subunit ribosomal RNA
Source: RNAcentral
AACGAACGCUGGCGGCAUGGAUUAGGCAUGCAAGUCGAACGGGAUCUGAGAUAUUCAAGUAGCAAUAUGAGAAUAUUUCAGUGAGAGUGGCGAAAGGGUGAGGAACACGUGAGUUACCUGCCCCUAAGUUUGGAAUAACCUUCCGAAAGGAGGGCUAAUGCCGAAUGUGGAUUACCCGUAAAGGGGACAUCUAAAGGUUUACCGUUUAGGGAUGGGCUCGCGUCCUAUCAGCUUGUUGGUGAGGUAAUGGCUUACCAAGGCAAUGACGGGUAGCUGGUCUGAGAGGAUGGUCAGCCACACUGGGACUGAGACACUGCCCAGACUCCUACGGGAGGCUGCAGUCGAGAAUCUUCCGCAAUGGGCGCAAGCCUGACGGAGCAAUGCCGCGUGAAGGAUGAAGGUCUUCGGAUUGUAAACUUCUGUCACUGGGGACGAAUAAAUGACGGUACCCGGAGAGGAAGUCACGGCUAACUACGUGCCAGCAGCCGCGGUAA